GAUGAACGCUGGCGGCGUGCCUAAUACAUGCAAGUCGAGCGAACGGACGAGAAGCUUGCUUCUCUGAUGUUAGCGGCGGACGGGUGAGUAACACGUGGAUAACCUACCUAUAAGACUGGGAUAACUUCGGGAAACCGGAGCUAAUACCGGAUAAUAUUUUGAACCGCAUGGUUCAAAAGUGAAAGACGGUCUUGCUGUCACUUAUAGAUGGAUCCGCGCUGCAUUAGCUAGUUGGUAAGGUAACGGCUUACCAAGGCAACGAUGCAUAGCCGACCUGAGGGGGUGAUCGGCCACACUGGAACUGAGACACGGUCCAGACUCCUACGGGAGGCAGCAGUAGGGAAUCUUCCGCAAUGGGCGAAAGCCUGACGGAGCAACGCCGCGUGAGUGAUGAAGGUCUUCGGAUCGUAAAACUCUGUUAUUAGGGAAGAACAUAUGUGUAAGUAACUGUGCACAUCUUGACGGUACCUAAUCAGAAAGCCACGGCUAACUACGUGCCAGCAGCCGCGGUAAUACGUAGGUGGCAAGCGUUAUCCGGAAUUAUUGGGCGUAAAGCGCGCGUANGCGGUUUUUUAAGUCUGAUGUGAAGCCCACGGCUCACCCGUGGAGGGUCAUUGGAAACUGGAAAACUUGAGUGCAGAAGAGGAAAGUGGAAUUCCAUGUGUAGCGGUGAAAUGCGCAGAGAUAUGGAGGAACACCAGUGGCGAAGGCGACUUUCUGGUCUGUAACUGACGCUGAUGUGCGAAAGCGUGGGGAUCAAACAGGAUUAGAUACCCUGGUAGUCCACGCCGUAAACGAUGAGUGCUAAGUGUUAGGGGGUUUCCGCCCCUUAGUGCUGCAGCUAACGCAUUAAGCACUCCGCCUGGGGAGUACGACCGCAAGGUUGAAACUCAAAGGAAUUGACGGGGACCCGCACAAGCGGUGGAGCAUGUGGUUUAAUUCGAAGCAACGCGAAGAACCUUACCAAAUCUUGACAUCCUUUGACAACUCUAGAGAUAGAGCCUUCCCCUUCGGGGGACAAAGUGACAGGUGGUGCAUGGUUGUCGUCAGCUCGUGUCGUGAGAUGUUGGGUUAAGUCCCGCAACGAGCGCAACCCUUAAGCUUAGUUGCCAUCAUUAAGUUGGGCACUCUAAGUUGACUGCCGGUGACAAACCGGAGGAAGGUGGGGAUGACGUCAAAUCAUCAUGCCCCUUAUGAUUUGGGCUACACACGUGCUACAAUGGACAAUACAAAGGGCAGCGAAACCGCGAGGUCAAGCAAAUCCCAUAAAGUUGUUCUCAGUUCGGAUUGUAGUCUGCAACUCGACUACAUGAAGCUGGAAUCGCUAGUAAUCGUAGAUCAGCAUGCUACGGUGAAUACGUUCCCGGGUCU
RNAcentral lists this ribosomal RNA (1371 nucleotides) under uncultured bacterium. Its description in RNAcentral is "bacterial SSU rRNA". It matches the Rfam family "Bacterial small subunit ribosomal RNA", at positions 28 to 1381 of the family's 1533-position model. The record is from RNAcentral.